GGAUGAGCCUGCACUUGAUUAGUUUGUUGGUGGGGUAAUGGCCUACCAAGACUGUGAUCAAUAGCUGAUUUGAGAGGAUGAUCAGCCACAUUGGGACUGAGACACGGCCCAAACUCCUACGGGAGGCAGCAGUGGGGAAUCUUGCACAAUGGAGGAAACUCUGAUGCAGCGAUGCCGCGUGAGUGAAGAAGGCCUUUGGGUUGUAAAGCUCUUUCGUCGGGGAAGAAAAUGACUGUACCCGAAUAAGAAGGUCCGGCUAACUUCGUGCCAGCAGCCGCGGUAAUACGAAGGGACCUAGCGUAGUUCGGAAUUACUGGGCUUAAAGAGUUCGUAGGUGGUUGAAAAAGUUGGUGGUGAAAUCCCAGAGCUUAACUCUGGAACUGCCAUCAAAACUUUUCAGCUAGAGUAUGAUAGAGGAAAGCAGAAUUUCUAGUGUAGAGGUGAAAUUCGUAGAUAUUAGAAAGAAUACCAAUUGCGAAGGCAGCUUUCUGGAUCAUUACUGACACUGAGGAACGAAAGCAUGGGUAGCGAAGAGGAUUAGAUACCCUCGUAGUCCAUGCCGUAAACGAUGUGUGUUAGACGUUGGAAAUUUAUUUUCAGUGUCGCAGCGAAAGCGAUAAACACACCGCCUGGGGAGUACGACCGCAAGGUUAAAACUCAAAUGAAUUGACGGGGACCCGCACAAGUAGUGGAGCAUGUGGUUUAAUUCGAAGAUACGCGCAGAACCUUACCAACACUUGACAUGUUCGUCGCGACUCUAAGAGAUUAGAGUUUUCGGUUCGGCCGGACGAAACACAGGUGCUGCAUGGCUGUCGUCAGCUCGUGUCGUGAGAUGUUGGGUUAAGUCCCGCAACGAGCGCAACCCUCACUUUUAGUUGCCAUCAUUAAGUUGGGCACUCUGAAAGAACUGCCAGUGAUAGCUGGA
This 925-nucleotide ribosomal RNA is filed under the name marine metagenome. Its description in RNAcentral is "bacterial SSU rRNA". It matches the Rfam family "Bacterial small subunit ribosomal RNA", at positions 223 to 1167 of the family's 1533-position model. The record is from RNAcentral.